GGUAUGCUCAGGCUGCAUUCAGUGUAGGUUCUGUCUUCUUUCUUGGAUAUAGGUCUUGUUGCUUAAAUUAUAUCUUGUCUUGGACAAAUAUUUUAACUUUGUUGUGGUUAUCUGAUAUUUUUGUCAUUUAACAUUACUAGUGAGGAUACAUUAAUAAAUAGCUAUUUUUGGUCAACGUUUAAGUUCAGCUUUUUUUUUGGUCCGGUUAUUUGAAACACCGGCGAGGGAAAUACAUCUGGGAUCAAAUAGAUGCAAACUCUAUGACAGAGUCAGCGAGCAUCAGUGGCAGAGGUCUACAGCUGAGUCAAAGGCAGAGGUCUACGGUUAAGGUCUACGGCAGAGGUCUAUGGCAGUGGUCUACGGCAGAGGUCUAUGGUCGCACACCUGAAGUUAAGCAGCUCAUGAGGUGAAGGACUGAUGGCUGCCCCUCUCCUCCUCCUCUACUAGCGUUAAGUAUCAGAAAUCAGAAAUCAG
Macrosteles quadrilineatus (aster leafhopper) is the source of this 474-nucleotide long non-coding RNA. RefSeq lists it as uncharacterized. The transcript has 3 exons. The record is from RefSeq and is a predicted model, not a curated record. Lineage: Eukaryota; Metazoa; Arthropoda; Insecta; Hemiptera; Cicadellidae.